RNAcentral lists this small RNA (294 nucleotides) under Purpureocillium lilacinum. RNAcentral describes it as "5' ureB small RNA". It matches the Rfam family "5' ureB small RNA". The record is from Rfam by way of RNAcentral. Lineage: Eukaryota; Fungi; Ascomycota; Sordariomycetes; Hypocreales; Ophiocordycipitaceae.
CUCGAGCGCCUGUUGCGGGCAGAUAUAGUGCACGUGAGUGUCGAUGCCUCCGGCGGUGAUAAUCUUCCCCUCUCCAGCAACGACAUCGGUGCAGCUACCGACUAUCAUGUUGGGCGUGACGCCCUCCAUGACAUCUGGGCUACCCGCCUUGCCGAUGCCGACAAUCAUACCGUCCUUGACGCCAAUAUCGGCCUUGUAUAUACCGGUCCAAUCGACUAUCAGGGCGUUGGUGACCACCAUAUCGAGUGUCUCCGCGUCCGAACGGCCUGUGGCCUGACCCAUGCCUUCGCGCAG